AAGACUUUAAGACAAUCCUGAAGCCAUUUUUGACAAUUCUGAAUCCUCUCAGCCUCUGUGCCAUAGUGCUUCCCCUCCUCCCCUGGGAACCAAGGACCUAACAGCUACACUUGCACGUACUCAGUUCCUGAACAAUUACCCAUAUACGUAUGCUUUGGUUCUGUCCCCUGGGAAACGAGGUCAAAAUGACCUCUUACCUCAUCUGAUCUGGCAACAGCUCUCCAGUCAAUUAUUGGUAAUAGCCCUUUCAAAUAAGCCAAUCAGAAUAGUCAAAGAACAACCCCCCUUGCUUCUGUGGCCCCUUUAAAAGUAGACUGUACCCGCUAUUCGAGGUCCCUCGGCUUCCCGAAUGCUGGGGGACCCUGUCAUGACAGAAUUAAUAAAAUCCUCAUGCUUUUGCAUCGGCUGUAGUGUGUGAGAUGGUCUCUGGGGGCGACUCCUUCUCGGUGUUUGGACGCCAGAGUCCAACAUUUGGUUCCCUGACCGGGAAUCGAGUCGCUCCCAGACACACUCUAGACCCAGUUGGAGGGCUAAAAUUUGAAGGGGACCAGGCAGUGGGACAGACGUGUCCGGGAACACUCCCUGGCCCAGCCGUGGAGGACGCUUCACUGGCAAUUUGUGAAACUAGGAGCGACUAGGUCAUCUUAGUUUCUAGGGAGUGUGGCCCUUAUCGCCCACUCCCUUCCAGGUUCGUAUCAGUUUGUUGCCGCGCGGCUUCUGAUUUUGAGUCUAUGUCUGUCUUUUUGUUCUUGUGUAUUUUCAGUUCUACACCAGAGUGGUGGUGAGAGCACCAGCUUCUGGUUUUGAGUUUAUGUCUGUCUCUUUAUAUUUUUUGUUUUUGUAUGUCGGCUUGUCUUUGUUAAAAUCCACCUGCAGGAAUUCAGAACCUGGCACCGGCCCCCUGGCCAUCAUCAGUUUCCCUGAUU
Molecule: long non-coding RNA, 926 nt
Organism: Alexandromys fortis (reed vole)
Lineage: Eukaryota; Metazoa; Chordata; Mammalia; Rodentia; Cricetidae
Exons: 2
Source: RefSeq, a predicted model, not a curated record